Molecule: long non-coding RNA, 1161 nt
Filed under: Pogona vitticeps (central bearded dragon)
Lineage: Eukaryota; Metazoa; Chordata; Lepidosauria; Squamata; Agamidae
Description: lncRNA (ENSPVIG00000008566.1)
Source: RNAcentral
AGAUCCUUUGCUACUCUGCCUCAGGCAGUACAAUAUCUGGGGUCAGCCCUGCUGUGUUGGAUCACCAUGUCUCCAGACACCACUCAUAGUCUUAGGGGACCCUAAAAAAGGUCCUGAGCUUGUUGACUUAGGUUUAGAGAGUUGGACACAAGCAUUAGCUGUUGGAGACCUUUGUCACCUUGAUUCAGGAUGCAGGUUAUAAUUUAUGUGUGCUGGAGGGAUGAACGGACAAAUUCUUUGUAACUGAUGUUACGCGUUAUUCUUAUAUUCCAAGUUUUAAAGUGUUGCCUCUUAUGCCUGUUGAGGUCUCUGUAUGUCAGGAUUGGAGAAGAGCAAGGCCCAGGAGCAGUGAUACAGUGGUAAAUUUAAAAGUGUAGGGGCUCCCCCUGACAGCCUCUGUAGUGACCUCACUCCAGAACGAGAGGCCAAACAGGCAGGAUGCUGGAUCCGUGCAUUUCAGCUAUUAAGGAACAGGGCUUUUGUAAGGGUGAGGGUUCUUGAUUUCCCACUCAAGACCAAACCACCAACUCCAUCCAUAAAACUCAGUGCAGACAGAUGACUGGAAAGCUACUGCUGCUCUAAGGGGUUCUUCCAUGGUCAUUCACUAAGUGAUCGCCAGUAAUGAAGCAAUCAUACUUUCUGGUUUAUUAACCCCAAUUUAUCUGUCUUAAAAGCACCUUUGCUUUUGGGCAACACAUACAUCUGCAGACAAGACAGGAUUCACUGUGGCACCCAACCUUAUCUAUAGAGCAGAUCAUUAUUUUCAGAACGUUCACUUUAACCCGAGUGCACUUUCAUUACUGAGCUGUUCUUCCUAUUUCCCACAGAGUUCCCCAAUUAGCUCCAAGUUGCUUGGAAAAUGAAAAUUUAGCUUAUUGCACAAUUGUUUUAAAGAAAAGAGGAGGGAAAAAAAAUCACAUAUCCUCUUUUCUAUUUGCUGUUGUUGUCACUGAGCAUGAACGCAAUAUUUUCCACUAGGCGUGACUUCCGUAUCAGACAUAUUAAAACAAGAACCAAGACAUUGAAAGAAGCAAGACAUUGGAAAGGUCUUGCAGAACGAGGAACCAAGAAUGCCUUCGAUCCAGCUUUGCUGCCAUUUUCAAAGCUGAUUUUACUCUUCCCUGCUUGCAAAGGAAACCUUCUCAACAUUACCCGCUUAGG